RNAcentral lists this ribosomal RNA (253 nucleotides) under uncultured bacterium. RNAcentral's name for it is "partial 16S ribosomal RNA". It matches the Rfam family "Bacterial small subunit ribosomal RNA", at positions 524 to 776 of the family's 1533-position model. The record is from RNAcentral.
UACGGGGGGGGCAAGCGUUGUUCGGAAUUACUGGGCGUAAAGGGCUCGUAGGCGGCCAACUAAGUCAGACGUGAAAUCCCUCGGCUUAACCGGGGAACUGCGUCUGAUACUGGAUGGCUUGAAUCCGGGAGAGGGAUGCGGAAUUCCAGGUGUAGCGGUGAAAUGCGUAGAUAUCUGGAGGAACACCGGUGGCGAAGGCGGCAUUCUGGACCGAUAUUGACGCUGAGGAGCGAAAGCCAGGGGAGCAAACGGG